Molecule: ribosomal RNA, 497 nt
Filed under: uncultured bacterium
Lineage: Bacteria
Description: partial 16S ribosomal RNA
Rfam family: Bacterial small subunit ribosomal RNA
Source: RNAcentral
GGCGAACGCUGGCGGCGUGCCUAAUACAUGCAAGUUGAGCGCUGAAGGUUGGUACUUGUACCAACUGGAUGAGCAGCGAACGGGUGAGUAACGCGUGGGGAAUCUGCCUUUGAGCGGGGGACAACAUUUGGAAACGAAUGCUAAUACCGCAUAAAAACUUUAAACACAAGGUUGAAGUGUGAAAGAUGCAAUUGCAUCACUCAAAGAUGAUCCCGCGUUGUAUUAGCUAGUUGGUGAGGUAAAGGCUCACCAAGGCGAUGAUACAUAGCCGACCUGAGAGGGUGAUCGGCCACAUUGGGACUGAGACACGGCCCAAACUCCUACGGGAGGCAGCAGUAGGGCAUCUUCGGCAAUGGACGAAAGUCUGACCGAGCAACGCCGCGUGAGUGAAGAAGGUUUUCGGAUCGUAAAACUCUGUUGGUAGGGAAGAACGUUGGUGAGAGUGGAAAGCUCAUCAAGUGACGGUAACUACCCAGAAAGGGACGGCUAACUACGUG